UUAAGCGACUAAGCGUACACGGUGGAUGCCCUGGCAGUCAGAGGCGAUGAAGGACGUGCUAAUCUGCGAAAAGCGUCGGUAAGGUGAUAUGAACCGUUAUAACCGGCGAUGUCCGAAUGGGGAAACCCAGUGCAAUUCGUUGCACUAUCGUUAACUGAAUACAUAGGUUAACGAGGCGAACCGGGGGAACUGAAACAUCUAAGUACCCCGAGGAAAAGAAAUCAACCGAGAUUCCCCCAGUAGCGGCGAGCGAACGGGGAGCAGCCCAGAGUCUGAAUCAGCUUGUGUGUUAGUGGAACGGUCUGGAAAGUCCGACGGUACAGGGUGAUAGUCCCGUACACCAAAAUGCACAGGCUGUGAACUCGAAGAGUAGGGCGGGACACGUGGUAUCCUGUCUGAAUAUGGGGGGACCAUCCUCCAAGGCUAAAUACUCCUGACUGACCGAUAGUGAACCAGUACCGUGAGGGAAAGGCGAAAAGAACCCCGGCGAGGGGAGUGAAAAAGAACCUGAAACCGUGUACGUACAAGCAGUGGGAGCACCUUCGGGUGUGACUGCGUACCUUUUGUAUAAUGGGUCAGCGACUUAUAUUCUGUAGCAAGGUUAACCGUAUAGGGGAGCCGCAGGGAAACCGAGUCUUAACUGGGCGUUAAGUUGCAGGGUAUAGACCCGAAACCCGGUGAUCUAGCCAUGGGCAGGUUGAAGGUUGGGUAACACUAACUGGAGGACCGAACCGACUAAUGUUGAAAAAUUAGCGGAUGACUUGUGGCUGGGGGUGAAAGGCCAAUCAAACCGGGAGAUAGCUGGUUCUCCCCGAAAGCUAUUUAGGUAGCGCCUCGUGAACUCAUCUUCGGGGGUAGAGCACUGUUUCGGCUAGGGGGUCAUCCCGACUUACCAACCCGAUGCAAACUACGAAUACCGAAGAAUGUUAUCACGGGAGACACACGGCGGGUGCUAACGUCCGUCGUGAAGAGGGAAACAACCCAGACCGCCAGCUAAGGUCCCAAAGUCAUGGUUAAGUGGGAAACGAUGUGGGAAGGCACAGACAGCCAGGAUGUUGGCUUAGAAGCAGCCAUCAUUUAAAGAAAGCGUAAUAGCUCACUGGUCGAGUCGGCCUGCGCGGAAGAUGUAACGGGGCUAAACCAUGCACCGAAGCUGCGGCAGCGACACUAUGUGUUGUUGGGUAGGGGAGCGUUCUGUAAGCCUGCGAAGGUGUGCUGUGAGGCAUGCUGGAGGUAUCAGAAGUGCGAAUGCUGACAUAAGUAACGAUAAAGCGGGUGAAAAGCCCGCUCGCCGGAAGACCAAGGGUUCCUGUCCAACGUUAAUCGGGGCAGGGUGAGUCGACCCCUAAGGCGAGGCCGAAAGGCGUAGUCGAUGGGAAACAGGUUAAUAUUCCUGUACUUGGUGUUACUGCGAAGGGGGGACGGAGAAGGCUAUGUUAGCCGGGCGACGGUUGUCCCGGUUUAAGCAUGUAGGCUGNCACUAUCGUUAACUGAAUACAUAGGUUAACGAGGCGAACCGGGGGAACUGAAACAUCUAAGUACCCCGAGGAAAAGAAAUCAACCGAGAUUCCCCCAGUAGCGGCGAGCGAACGGGGAGCAGCCCAGAGUCUGAAUCAGCUUGUGUGUUAGUGGAACGGUCUGGAAAGUCCGACGGUACAGGGUGAUAGUCCCGUACACCAAAAUGCACAGGUUGUGAACUCGAAGAGUAGGGCGGGACACGUGGUAUCCUGUCUGAAUAUGGGGGGACCAUCCUCCAAGGCUAAAUACUCCUGACUGACCGAUAGUGAACCAGUACCGUGAGGGAAAGGCGAAAAGAACCCCGGCGAGGGGAGUGAAAAAGAACCUGAAACCGUGUACGUACAAGCAGUGGGAGCACCUUCGGGUGUGACUGCGUACCUUUUGUAUAAUGGGUCAGCGACUUAUAUUCUGUAGCAAGGUUAACCGUAUAGGGGAGCCGCAGGGAAACCGAGUCUUAACUGGGCGUUAAGUUGCAGGGUAUAGACCCGAAACCCGGUGAUCUAGCCAUGGGCAGGUUGAAGGUUGGGUAACACUAACUGGAGGACCGAACCGACUAAUGUUGAAAAAUUAGCGGAUGACUUGUGGCUGGGGGUGAAAGGCCAAUCAAACCGGGAGAUAGCUGGUUCUCCCCGAAAGCUAUUUAGGUAGCGCCUCGUGAACUCAUCUUCGGGGGUAGAGCACUGUUUCGGCUAGGGGGUCAUCCCGACUUACCAACCCGAUGCAAACUACGAAUACCGAAGAAUGUUAUCACGGGAGACACACGGCGGGUGCUAACGUCCGUCGUGAAGAGGGAAACAACCCAGACCGCCAGCUAAGGUCCCAAAGUCAUGGUUAAGUGGGAAACGAUGUGGGAAGGCACAGACAGCCAGGAUGUUGGCUUAGAAGCAGCCAUCAUUUAAAGAAAGCGUAAUAGCUCACUGGUCGAGUCGGCCUGCGCGGAAGAUGUAACGGGGCUAAACCAUGCACCGAAGCUGCGGCAGCGACACUAUGUGUUGUUGGGUAGGGGAGCGUUCUGUAAGCCUGCGAAGGUGUGCUGUGAGGCAUGCUGGAGGUAUCAGAAGUGCGAAUGCUGACAUAAGUAACGAUAAAGCGGGUGAAAAGCCCGCUCGCCGGAAGACCAAGGGUUCCUGUCCAACGUUAAUCGGGGCAGGGUGAGUCGACCCCUAAGGCGAGGCCGAAAGGCGUAGUCGAUGGGAAACAGGUUAAUAUUCCUGUACUUGGUGUUACUGCGAAGGGGGGACGGAGAAGGCUAUGUUAGCCGGGCGACGGUUGUCCCGGUUUAAGCAUGUAGGCUGAUUGUCCAGGCAAAUCCGGAUAAUCAAGGCUGAGGUGUGAUGACGAGGCACUACGGUGCUGAAGUAACAAAUGCCCUGCUUCCAGGAAAAGCCUCUAAGCAUCAGGUAACAUUAAAUCGUACCCCAAACCGACACAGGUGGUCAGGUAGAGAAUACCAAGGCGCUUGAGAGAACUCGGGUGAAGGAACUAGGCAAAAUGGUGCCGUAACUUCGGGAGAAGGCACGCUGGUGUGUAGGUGAAGUCCCUGCGGAUGGAGCUGAGACCAGUCGAAGAUACCAGCUGGCUGCAACUGUUUAUUAAAAACACAGCACUGUGCAAACACGAAAGUGGACGUAUACGGUGUGACGCCUGCCCGGUGCCGGAAGGUUAAUUGAUGGGGUUAUCCGUAAGGAGAAGCUCUUGAUCGAAGCCCCGGUAAACGGCGGCCGUAACUAUAACGGUCCUAAGGUAGCGAAAUUCCUUGUCGGGUAAGUUCCGACCUGCACGAAUGGCGUAAUGAUGGCCAGGCUGUCUCCACCCGAGACUCAGUGAAAUUGAACUCGCUGUGAAGAUGCAGUGUACCCGCGGCAAGACGGAAAGACCCCGUGAACCUUUACUAUAGCUUGACACUGAACAUUGAGCCUUGAUGUGUAGGAUAGGUGGGAGGCUUUGAAGCGUGGACGCCAGUCUGCGUGGAGCCAACCUUGAAAUACCACCCUUUAAUGUUUGAUGUUCUAACGUUGGCCCCUGACCGGGGUUGCGGACAGUGUCUGGUGGGUAGUUUGACUGGGGCGGUCUCCUCCCAAAGCGUAACGGAGGAGCACGAAGGUUAGCUAAUCCUGGUCGGACAUCAGGAGGUUAGUGCAAUGGCAUAAGCUAGCUUGACUGCGAGCGUGACGGCGCGAGCAGGUGCGAAAGCAGGUCAUAGUGAUCCGGUGGUUCUGAAUGGAAGGGCCAUCGCUCAACGGAUAAAAGGUACUCCGGGGAUAACAGGCUGAUACCGCCCAAGAGUUCAUAUCGACGGCGGUGUUUGGCACCUCGAUGUCGGCUCAUCACAUCCUGGGGCUGAAGUAGGUCCCAAGGGUAUGGCUGUUCGCCAUUUAAAGUGGUACGCGAGCUGGGUUUAGAACGUCGUGAGACAGUUCGGUCCCUAUCUGCCGUGGGCGCUGGAGAAUUGAGGGGGGCUGCUCCUAGUACGAGAGGACCGGAGUGGACGCAUCACUGGUGUUCGGGUUGUCAUGCCAAUGGCACUGCCCGGUAGCUAAAUGCGGAAGAGAUAAGUGCUGAAAGCAUCUAAGCACGAAACUUGCCCCGAGAUGAGUUCUCCCUGAGACUUUAAGUCUCCUGAAGGAACGUUAAAGACGAUGACGUUGAUAGGCCGGGUGUGUAAGCGCAGCGAUGCGUUGAGCUAACCGGUACUAAUGAACCGUGAGGCUUAACCUU
RNAcentral lists this ribosomal RNA (4236 nucleotides) under Klebsiella pneumoniae. Its description in RNAcentral is "bacterial LSU rRNA". The stretch from base 1402 to 4236 matches the Rfam family "Bacterial large subunit ribosomal RNA". The record is from RNAcentral. Lineage: Bacteria; Pseudomonadati; Pseudomonadota; Gammaproteobacteria; Enterobacterales; Enterobacteriaceae.